UACAGAGGUCUCAAGCGUUGUUCGGAUUCAUUGGGCGAUGAAAGGGUGCGCAGGUGGCGAGGCAAGUCGGAUGUGAAAUCCCCGGGCUCAACCUGGGAACUGCAUUUGUGACUGCAUAGCUAGAGUACGGUAGAGGGGGAUGGAAUUCCGCGUGUAGCAGUGAAAUGCGCAGAUAUCAGGAGGAACACCGAUGGCGAAGGCAGGUCUCUGGGCAUUAACUGACGCUGAGGAGCGAAAGCAUGGGGAGCGAACAGG
RNAcentral lists this ribosomal RNA (255 nucleotides) under uncultured bacterium. RNAcentral describes it as "partial 16S ribosomal RNA". It matches the Rfam family "Bacterial small subunit ribosomal RNA", at positions 524 to 776 of the family's 1533-position model. The record is from RNAcentral.